GUUAGGAAUAUUGGACAAUGGGCGCAAGCCUGAUCCAGCCAUGCCGCGUGAGUGAUGAAGGCCUUCGGGUUGUAAAGCUCUUUAGCCGAUGAUUAUAAUGACUGUAGUCGGAAAAUAAGCCCCGGCUAACUUCGUGCCAGCAGCCGCGGUAAUACGAAGGGGGCGAGCGUUAUUCGGAAUCACUGGGCGUAAAGCGUGCGUAGGCGGUUUUGUAAGUUGGGAGUGAAAGCCCAGGGCUCAACCCUGGAAUUGCUCUCAAAACUACAAGACUUGAAUUUGGGAGAGGAUAGCGGAAUUGUCAGUGCAGCAGUGAAAUGCGUAGAUAUUGACAGGAACACCAGUGGCGUAAGCGGCUAUCUGGACCGACAUUGACGCUGAGGCACGAAAGCGUGGGGAUCAAACAGGAUUAGAUACCCCGGUAGUCC
Molecule: ribosomal RNA, 425 nt
Filed under: uncultured bacterium
Lineage: Bacteria
Description: partial 16S ribosomal RNA
Rfam family: Bacterial small subunit ribosomal RNA
Source: RNAcentral